This 729-nucleotide ribosomal RNA is filed under the name Klebsiella ornithinolytica. Its description in RNAcentral is "partial 23S ribosomal RNA". It matches the Rfam family "Bacterial large subunit ribosomal RNA", at positions 2202 to 2925 of the family's 2925-position model. The record is from RNAcentral. Lineage: Bacteria; Pseudomonadati; Pseudomonadota; Gammaproteobacteria; Enterobacterales; Enterobacteriaceae.
ACCCUUUAAUGUUUGAUGUUCUAACGUAGACCCGUGAUCCGGGUUGCGGACAGUGUCUGGUGGGUAGUUUGACUGGGGCGGUCUCCUCCCAAAGAGUAACGGAGGAGCACGAAGGUUAGCUAAUCCUGGUCGGACAUCAGGAGGUUAGUGCAAUGGCAUAAGCUAGCUUGACUGCGAGCGUGACGGCGCGAGCAGGUGCGAAAGCAGGUCAUAGUGAUCCGGUGGUUCUGAAUGGAAGGGCCAUCGCUCAACGGAUAAAAGGUACUCCGGGGAUAACAGGCUGAUACCGCCCAAGAGUUCAUAUCGACGGCGGUGUUUGGCACCUCGAUGUCGGCUCAUCACAUCCUGGGGCUGAAGUAGGUCCCAAGGGUAUGGCUGUUCGCCAUUUAAAGUGGUACGCGAGCUGGGUUUAGAACGUCGUGAGACAGUUCGGUCCCUAUCUGCCGUGGGCGCUGGAGAAUUGAGGGGGGCUGCUCCUAGUACGAGAGGACCGGAGUGGACGCAUCACUGGUGUUCGGGUUGUCAUGCCAAUGGCAUUGCCCGGUAGCUAAAUGCGGAAAAGAUAAGUGCUGAAAGCAUCUAAGCACGAAACUUGCCCCGAGAUGAGUUCUCCCUGACCCUUUAAGGGUCCUGAAGGAACGUUGAAGACGACGACGUUGAUAGGUCGGGUGUGUAAGCGUAGCGAUACGUUGAGCUAACCGAUACUAAUGAACCGUGAGGCUUAACCUU